Molecule: long non-coding RNA, 3314 nt
Organism: Vespa crabro (European hornet)
Lineage: Eukaryota; Metazoa; Arthropoda; Insecta; Hymenoptera; Vespidae
Exons: 7
Source: RefSeq, a predicted model, not a curated record
UUAUAUAAAUAUUCCUCGUUGUCAUCUUCCGUCCUCACUUUCUAUUAAGACACGAGGAUAGUAAUAGUUGUACUAUGUAAGCGGAGUGUUUAUAAAUCACAAAAAUUAUUACUACAAUCAUUAGACUACUUCUAUUUUAAUUAAACUAUUUCUAUAGCUUUCAAUAGCUGCAAAUCAUAAAAUUCACUGUAAUAUUAAUUAUUAUUACAAUAAUACUAGUUGAAUUAUUCUACAAAAUAUUACAAUACAUUUUAAAUAAAUUACACCAAUAUAAUACAAUCAAGAGUAUCCUGGUUCCGAAAGCAUACCCAAUAAUUGGAAGUGCUCAUUUGUUUGUUGGCGAUAACGAAGAUAUAGCCCAACAUUUCAUAAAUAUUGGUUAAAAUUAUCAAUCAUUGUGGCGUAUAUGGCUAGGCACGAAAUUACUUGUAAUCGUACAUAAUCCUGAAUAUAUCAAGAAGGUAUUAAAUAACCCAAAUAUUAAUGAGAAGAGCGAGGAGUAUAAAUAUAUGAAAUCGAUUAUCGCCAAUGGAUUGUUUUCUGCUUCAGCAAAAUUGUGGAAUCAUCAUAGAAAAAUAUUAAAUGAAGUCUUUCUUAAAAAAUAUCUAAUGUCCCAUAUGGAUGUAUUCGUUAAUCAUUUUGUCGCUUUAAUGGAAAAAUUGGAAACUUUAGUUGGACAAGAAAUAGAAAUUUGCCAUUACGCCUUUCGUUGUACAUUGGACAUAAUAUAUGUGCUUAUUCAAAGAUUGUCUGCAUCAAUCUUCACUAAAUUCGCAGACCGAUGAGAAUUCCAAACUAGAUAAAUCGAUUCAUUGUUUGAUGGAUAUAGCUGUGCGAAGGAUAUUCAAAACAUGGUUACAUCCGAAUAUAAUUUUUUGUAAUACUGCUAUGGGGAGGAAAUUUCAAAUAUGUUCAUCCUACCUGAAUAACGUUACAAGGAAUAUUUAAAAGAUUCAUUUCGUUAAUCCAUCUUAUUUUUUUUUAACAAUUUAAUAUUUAAGUAUUAUAUUGUCUUUAUAAAUAUAUAUCAUUUUUUGUUUGGAAAGAGAAUCAAAGAUAAAAAGUAAUCUAUGUUAAGAAGCGUAAUUAAACAAGAUUUGAUUAGGUCUUACUUUGAUAUAUUCCAGAUUAUGUACGAUUACAAGUAAUUUCGUGUCUAGCCAUAUACGCCACAAUGAUUGAACAUUUCAACCAAUAUUUAUGAAAUGUUGGUUUAUAUCUAAAAAAGAAAUUAUAAAUGAAAACUGGGUAAAGCGUUUAAAUAUAAAAUAUAUCAAUUACAAAUAUAUCUUCGUUAUCGCCAACAAACAAAUGAGCAUUUCCAAUUAUUGGGUAUGAAUUCGGAACCGGGAUACUCUUGAUCGUAUUAUAUUGUAGUAAAUGUAAUUUAUUUAAAAUGUAUUGUUAUAUUUUGUAGGAUAAGUCAACUAGUAUUAUUGUAAUAAUAAUUAAUAUUACAGUGAAUUUUAUUACAGUGAUUUCCAGCUAUUGAAAGCUAUAGAAAUAGUUUAAUUAAAAUAGUUUAAUUAAAAUAGAAGUGAUUGUAGUAAUAAUUUUUGUGAUUUACAAACACUACGCUUACACAGUACAACUCUUACUAUCCUCGUAUCUUAAUAGAAAGUGAGAACGGAAGAUGACAACGAGGAAUAAUUAUAUAAUACGCAGUACGGACUAUGCUCAUGUGAUCAGAGCUUACAUAAGAAAAUUCUUAUUCGAUUAGGCGAGAAGGAAAUAGGAGGGGAUCCAAAAAUGAAUUAUCUCUUCCUUAUCGCCUCCUCUUACUUCCACAAAAAAUGCUAUAACUGAACAUAGUUUUAUAAACCGAUUGUUAAUUAAUUCUUCAUUAGAAUGGAGAAUAUGUCAUAAAUUAUACGAUUAUGUUAUGAAAAUCAUCUUUUCUGUUAGCUUGACAUUUGAAUGUAUAUUUCUACUUCAAUUUCUAAUUUUGGUGUAAUAAACAGUAAUUAUAAUGUUCAUUAUGAAAAAAGCAAUUAUUUCCUAUUUUCAUUCAUAUAUAUAUUUCUUAUAUACAUAGUUAUAACACUGAUUUUGGAAAUAAUAACAAUAUAUAUGAAAAACUAUAUAUAAUAAUUACAUGUAGAAUUAGGAAAAUAUCUUCUGUGCAAAUUGCCCGUCAUCACUGGUCAUGGUAGGAGAAAUGCAACGUACCUUAAAAAAAUUAUUUUUUAAUUACACGUUCAAUGCAGUACAGUUUAACGGUCAACAAUUCUCAAUUUAUUUAUAUCGCAAUGGACCACACAAACUUUUAUCUGUUCAUUCGCUCGGCACUCGAUGGUCGAUAUUGCCGAAGUAAAACAACUUUCUCGCACUCAUGUCUAGUUUUUUAUAUAUUAUGUAAUCGUGUUUUUCUCUCUUUCACUCGUUCAUUAUAAGUUUCUAUCAUACACAUGUACAUUUUUUCAAAGUACGGAACAACGAACUUCGUUUAAUCCAAGACCGCUUGGAAGUCACACGUGAACUAAUACUCAUUCUGAUCGCUAUCAUAGUUUAUAUUUAUUUCUUAUAUUUAUAUUUAUAUAUUAUACAAAUUAUAUGGUAUAAAUUGUAGAAGCCGCAUGUACCAUCGAUUUUAUAUUCUAAAGUCAAUAAAUCGCAAUGCUAAAAAUGAAGAUAAUAAUUUCCACUCUGUUAAUAAGUUAUAUCAUUAAAAUAAAUCAGUUAGUAAUAGUUGAAAAAAUUCUGAUAAAAAUGAAUGUUAUAUUAAAACUGGCUAGAUCUGUAAGAUCAAAAUUUAGAAGAAGAAUGAAAUUGUAUAAUGUAUAUAAAUGUAAUAAAUAUAUAAUUAACAUAUUAUGUUUUUAUACGUAAUAAAUUCCGUACGUGAUGGCAGAUCUAUAGCAGAUAUAAAUUAUUAAUCGUACAAUCUAGGAACUGUAAAAAAAACUGUCUCAUGCUAUUUUAUAUAAAAAAUUCAUGCAAUUUUAUAUAAUAAGUAAUCAAAGGAUAAAGACCAUUUUUUAAAAAUUAUACGGCCCACAAGAUUAAUUCAUGUUCGUUAUGACCGAUACAAUAGAAUUCGUCUGUAAAAACAAAUUACAUCUUGUUUAUAUAUUUUACCUUUUAGCAACCAAUUAGAGAAAUCGUUAAGAAGAAACCUACUGAAUUAAUGAAGUAUUUCUAUAAGAAAGUACGCAACAUCAUAUAAAUCUAAUUGCUCAAUCAAAGAAUGGAAAAGAGUAAGAGCAAGAGGAAAAAAGAGGAAGAUAGUGAUGAUGAUAAAGUGAUAGAGGAAGAUGGAGAGAGGGAGUACGAUGUGAAGCAGGAAAAAGAGACAAAAGAUCAAAUAUUGACAU